Molecule: long non-coding RNA, 1024 nt
Organism: Condylura cristata (star-nosed mole)
Lineage: Eukaryota; Metazoa; Chordata; Mammalia; Eulipotyphla; Talpidae
Exons: 3
Source: RefSeq, a predicted model, not a curated record
GAGUCCCAAAACACGAGUAGCCCCCCCACCUGUUUUAAGUUUUAUAUUGAAAAGCGUGAACACCUGCAGCUUCUGUGGGUACCAAGGAGAGGCCAAAAAAAGGUAUAGAAAGGUCUAAGACCAUGGCUUUGCCCGUUAGACGAAGCAGUUAUCUGCCUCUUCGGGUUUUCUGGCAGCACGAGUGAACAGCGAACCUGACUUGCACUUUUCUGUCCUUUCUCCCAGUGCAUCACUUAGUAAUCUGAUCCAAUAGAAUCCCAUCUAGGUUGAGAAUUAUAAUCCCUCAUACUGACAUAAUCUUCAAGUAUUUUCAAUGCAAUAUACCUUUAAGUGAACAAGUAACUUCUUUCAGAAGCUACACACCAGUCACUUUGGAGAUGGAAGGCACCUAAACUCCCGAAGUCAGGACAAAGGCCAGAUGUUCUUCUGAAUGAGUCGAGAAACCCAACUCUGCAUCCCCAGUUUUUGCCGUCCUGCCCCGCCUAGGUGGUCACCGUGUACUGUGCAGCCUGUCAUGUCACAGGUUGCACUGGAUGGUCCAAGACUCCAGCGUGAAAUACUCUUAGGCAGCUGUUCAUUUAAUUCUAGUGAUAGCACUCAAAAAAUUUUAUAUAGAUGUCCUUAGCUCAUAACACCAGCUAAUUAUUAAUAAACUGGCAUUAACAUGUUUAUCUAGGUGUAAGAAGUCAGUUAUCGUGGUCAAGGUUUCCAAGGGAUUCAGGUGAUACAUCAGAGCAGAUGAACGAUGAUAAUGAAUUGAUUUAUCUUCUUUAUCCAGACACCUAGAAGUCACUUUCUGUUUUUGUUCUAUUUUUCUUUGGUAGCCCUUUAAACUUCUAGGCUUUUUAGAUGUCGAAAACAUCCCCUGUGCCCGGGAUUCCAUACUGUACGGUUCCUUAGGGGCUGCUGUGGCUGGUCUUGGACAUUUUUUAUUAACUAAAUUAGAAGAUCAUGUGAUGUUGGAGUAGGAGGAUUUUUCUUGGUGACGUUAGGAUGCUGGUUCCACUGUAGGUACAAUUAUGCA